UUUCAUUUAAGAAGACCAAAUCACGGUUCGUAUUUUAAUCUUAUUGAUUCAUUGAUCUGGAAAUGAUGAAGAACCAGAGAAAAGGACCUGAACUUAAUUCUAGAGAUUAAGAAAAUUAUUGCUGGUGAUCAGUUGGAGAAACUAAAAGUUUAUUUGAGGAAGAAUGGAUUGCGAUUAACGGGGAAUCUAAUUUGGUUACUGACCAUGUAAGUACAGGAUCAUAAAUGGUGGUGGAGAGCAGCAAGUAUCCGCUGUCUAGAUUUAACAUAGCAUCGUGGAGUGCCAGUGUCCUCCCUGUGGAACUAGAUUUAUGCAUUUCACUGGUGACUGUGGAUUUCCCCUUUGUACAAUCAGGAAAAGUGUGUUGAUAAAUGAAAGAAAUAGUGUCCAAGAGACGAAAAGAAGGAUUUUACCAGACGAAUUGUGGAUGAAAUUAGCUGCUCAACUUCAUAAUCAACUCCCAGCAGUCUGCACAAGACAACACAUUCAGAUUGGACAACGUACGCCUGCUUUCCUACCAAACCAAAGAUGGCUCACCGAGGUCUGCAUGAACACCACGAUGGCAUCUAGUAUUACCAAGCAACAUCAAGAUGGCAGUGUAGAAGUUGAGAACAAUUAAAAUAGAUGUUGUUUGGUAGUACUUGAUGCCAUGGAGGGCCUCAAUUCUCUUUCUCGAGGAUGCUUCACUGGUCCACCUUGGAGACCUAACACAGAAGCAAGAACCAAACAGAAGGAAAUGCGGAAGAGUACAGGACAUAGGUGAAUUUCUCAACCCAUGCUUGCAGUUAAGAGUGAAUUCCGCCAAGUCCAUGAUCAGUCACCUAUUAGGAGCAAUUAGGAGCAGCUGGUGCUGUGGAAGCUGUUGCACUGGUGCAGGUAAAUCCUGUUUAUCCACUUCUUUCCUUGGUUGAUGGACAGAAUUCACAUGAAAGUUCAGUGGAGUUUAGGUUUUAUCUUUUGCUAGAUUUUGUAUGCGCUUUUCUACUAAGUUCCUUUCACUUGAUAUCAAUUUUACAUCUAGGCAGUACGGACGGGUUGGUAAGCUCCGUAUGUUAGUUGUUUACAGAUACAAAUACUUUAUAUUGCUCUGCAAUAAUUACAUGCUUGAGGAAGGUUGCAGGGAUGAUAAGUUGAGAUGACUUACUGAAAUGGAUACAAACGUGCUGGUUCGCCCGAAGAAUUGUCUAAUUUAUGGCUUUGGUGGCCACAAUUCAUCAAUUUUACUCCCUUGCAAGCAGUAACUGGUGUUAGCUAGCAACUUCACCAUGGUCGUAAAAGAGGGAAGAAUUGGCAUUCAGCUUUCUUUGUCUUAGUUUCGGAUAUUGAGGUUUGAGGAAGAAGGGAACAUGUAAAAUAUUGUUUGGGGUGUUGUUGUUGAAGUUGAAGGUUCUCUACUUUGUUUUUCAAAUCCCCAGUUCCAUGUAUCCUUGAUUAGGUUCAAUUUUUUCCUGUAGCGAGAACCCGAAAAGGAAUUUGUGCAAAACAUUCUCAGAAAUUUGUAUAAGAAAUCAUCCCAUAUACUUCUAUUA
This is a long non-coding RNA of Papaver somniferum (opium poppy), 1529 nucleotides long. RefSeq lists it as uncharacterized. The record is from RefSeq and is a predicted model, not a curated record. The transcript is spliced from 5 exons. NCBI's taxonomy places the organism in Eukaryota, Viridiplantae, Streptophyta, Magnoliopsida, Ranunculales, Papaveraceae.